GACGAACUGUCCAAACGUUGUUCGGAAUCACUGGGCUUAAAGGGCGCGUAGGCGGUCAAACAAGUCAAGGGUGAAAUCCUGCAGCUUAACUGUAGAAGUGCCUUUGAUACUGUUUGUCUGGAGGGAGAUAGGGGUGUGCGGAACUUCCAGUGGAGCGGUGAAAUGCGUUGAUAUUGGAAGGAACGCCGGAGGCGAAAGCGGCGCACUGGAUCUCUUCUGACGCUGAGGCGCGAAAGCUAGGGGAGCAAACGGG
Molecule: ribosomal RNA, 253 nt
Filed under: uncultured bacterium
Lineage: Bacteria
Description: partial 16S ribosomal RNA
Rfam family: Bacterial small subunit ribosomal RNA
Source: RNAcentral